GACGAACGCUGGCGGCGUGCUUAACACAUGCAAGUCGAGCGGAAAGGCCCUUCGGGGUACUCGAGCGGCGAACGGGUGAGUAACACGUGAGUAAUCUGCCCUUGGCUUUGGGAUAGCUGCCGGAAACGGUGGCUAAUACCGGAUACGACAACCGUCUGCAUGGGCUGGUUGUGGAAAGUUUUUUCGGCCAGGGAUGUGCUCGCGGCCUAUCAGCUUGUUGGUGGGGUAAUGGCCUACCAAGGCUUCGACGGGUAGCCGGCCUGAGAGGGUGACCGGCCACACUGGGACUGAGACACGGCCCAGACUCCUACGGGAGGCAGCAGUGGGGAAUAUUGGAUAAUGGGCGGAAGCCUGAUCCAGCAACGCCGCGUGAGGGAUGACGGCCUUCGGGUUGUAAACCUCUUUCAGUACCGACGAAGCGCCGAUGAUGGUGGUGACGGUAGGUACAGAAGAAGCACCGGCCAACUACGUG
This 472-nucleotide ribosomal RNA is filed under the name uncultured bacterium. Its description in RNAcentral is "partial 16S ribosomal RNA". It matches the Rfam family "Bacterial small subunit ribosomal RNA", at positions 28 to 507 of the family's 1533-position model. The record is from RNAcentral.